Molecule: ribosomal RNA, 424 nt
Filed under: uncultured Flavobacterium sp.
Lineage: Bacteria; Pseudomonadati; Bacteroidota; Flavobacteriia; Flavobacteriales; Flavobacteriaceae
Description: bacterial SSU rRNA
Rfam family: Bacterial small subunit ribosomal RNA
Source: RNAcentral
UGAGGAAUAUUGGUCAAUGGACGCAAGUCUGAACCAGCCAUGCCGCGUGCAGGAUGAAGCAUCUAUGGUGUGUAAACUGCUUUUGUACGGGAAGAAACACUCCUACGUGUAGGAGCUUGACGGUACCGUAAGAAUAAGGAUCGGCUAACUCCGUGCCAGCAGCCGCGGUAAUACGGAGGAUCCAAGCGUUAUCCGGAAUCAUUGGGUUUAAAGGGUCCGUAGGCGGCUUUAUAAGUCAGUGGUGAAAGCCCAUCGCUUAACGAUGGAACGGCCAUUGAUACUGUAGAGCUUGAAUUACUUGGAAGUAACUAGAAUAUGUAGUGUAGCGGUGAAAUGCUUAGAUAUUACAUGGAAUACCAAUUGCGAAGGCAGGUUACUACAAGUGGAUUGACGCUGAUGGACGAAAGCGUGGGGAGCGAACAGG